This is a non-coding RNA of Taeniopygia guttata (zebra finch), 7309 nucleotides long. The record is from RefSeq and is a predicted model, not a curated record. Lineage: Eukaryota; Metazoa; Chordata; Aves; Passeriformes; Estrildidae.
GUGCCUUUGGUAAUAAAACCUUGUGAUCAAUACCAAGGUUGACCCUUGCUGAGUAGGUCUGUGGAGUCCAGUGUUUGGCUUGCCUGUGGUAUUCUUCUGAGCAGAUUUUGUGACCACUUGUGAGCAAUACCCCGAAGUCCUUGGUGACUUUGCACUGGCUCGUGUGCUGUCUUUCCUUGCUUGGAACUCUCAGCUGCCUUCAGCAGAAUUGCUUGAGCUCAUCUUUUUCCUUCAUACAAAGAACAACUGUUAAAAUAUUUGGAGGGCUUCCCCCCUCCUCUAUGCAUGAAAUAAUCUGCAUCUGUGAUUCCUUUUACCCAGUAAAGCUGCAAACACCUGUUCAGAGAAGAACUUGGAGAAGGCUGAGGCUCGGCCUCUUGACUGACCGAGUUCAUCAAAAUUUUAUCUUCCUGCACUGCUAAGGUCUUGUUUGUUCAAGACUGGACAUCAAAUUAAACACACCUACAAAAUACAAGUUAAGAUGCUGAGGAGUGUUUUGCUUGUCUGCUAUUAAAAAUGACUUGUAUUUUUGAGUAGCUGAAACUGGAGGUGAAAAUAAUUGAAAUGGUAGAAGUGCCUUCAAAAAGUUAUAGAGGAGAAAUGGGAAUGCUUUUAAGAACAUAAGAAUAAGAUGUACAAAUAUUGCCACAAAUGCUGUAAAAUUUAGCACACUGAGGAAACUGUGGAAAUAUAAACAAAGGGUUGUUUUUGCAUAGAAUUUGAGAUGGACAUUUUUGAGGACUCCCAGUUUGUACCACCCCAUUUAUCUCCCAUACAUAUAUCAGAGUUGAGUUUCAGUUUUCAAAAUUGGGAUUUCUGGAAGGUGCCUGUACUGAACAUCAAGGGCCUUGGCAUGGAAGUGCAAUAGCAUGCUCUUCUACAGGGGCUGUGAGAGAAAACAUUUUUGCUUUUGAAUCUCUACAACAUCAGGGACUGUACAUGGACAUUACUGUAUUCUGAUAUUCAGAAGAUUAAACGUUAAAAUGCAUGGAUUGACUUAAUAAUGUCAGUGAAGGUUAAUAAGAGUUGCAUGUACUGUAUGAGUGGUGCAAGUACACCAGAGUAUGUCUGUGCAGAUUUAUUUUUUGAUAUCCUGAAAGGCACUCCUGUAUUUAUAUAGUUCAGCUAAUUUUUAGUUCCUGUAAACAUCCUACACUCAGCUAUUAUAAGUGGUGGGGCUGGGGGUUGGGUGUUUACUUCAACUGACUUGGAAAGGCAGCUUUCCUCAAUGACCAAGUGACAUUGGCAAGGAGGGAAUCCUAUUUUUCAGUACUAUUUAGUAUUGUAAGCACUAAUUUCUAUGGAAGCAGUAUGUAUUUCUAGAAAUCUCUUUUUGCUGAAAUUAUGAUUCUGGCUGUAUAAAGGCCUACAUGUUUGUUGGGAAACAGGCUUUAACUGAUGGGAUCCAUAUCUUUCUAAUUGCAAAUAAACUGUGACAAUAUAUCUUUGCUUGAAAAGCACCGUCUCAUACUCAGAUGGCAGAAGUAAUCUAAAACCUUAUCUUGAAUGUUCAGUUCUCAGUUGCAGCAGUGAUUUAUUGCUUAUUAUCUACUUGAUCAUUGUCAAAGGAGGAAUAGAUUUACAGGGUACUGUAAAAUCAAUUCCCAAACCAAGAGAUCAUUAAAGUAGUAAAAUAACUAAGCUUUACACAAUUUCUGUUGCCCUUUUAUCUUAAAAAACUGAUAAAUAUCUUUGAUAGGGGAAAUCUGCAUAGGAUAAAAAAGAAGUCAAGCAUCUCUUGUUUUCCUAGUAGCUCUUCUAUCAUGUCUUAGAAUCACUGAUGAUUCUGCUAUGGGUGUGUUGUUAAAUGAAGUAUGGCUUCAGCAUUUGGGCUUUCUUAGGUACCAAAAAAUUUAAAGGAAGAACUUAAAUAUUUUUAUUCAAAUAGAAGAAUGGGGUACAUGGAAUUCCUCAUCUUCAUAAAGGAUAAACAGGCUUCUUGCGAAUCGCUUUUACAAUCUGGUAUCCUUGUUAAUAUUUGAAAGGCUCAGACUCUAAAUUCUAAUAUUUUUUAUUUAUGAAGCCAAAUACAUUAUAAAAAUCAGUAAGAGGAUUUGUCCUCAUUCAAAUUCACACACAUGAGCCCCAUUUUGCUAUAACUGAACUUUUUGUUGUGCUUCUAUUUUUGCUUACAAACUGAAGAAGUCUUUUUAAUAUAUCAUAGAAAUCCUUGUGGACAGGUGUUAUGUAAUAUAUGGCACUGGAGGAUAGUGCAUGGAAGAGUUAACAUCAAAUCCUGUAUCUGAAGAUCACCCGUGUCUGCGUGAACACUGCAGUGCAACCAUGUGUUUGCUGUGUGUGCACUUCUGCAUGUACAAAACUGUUCUAGAUUUUUAUUCAGUGCAUCUGUUUAACUGGUACAAAACAAAUAUCUCCAGCUGGGAUGAAUGAGGGAAGAAUGAGGGAGGCAAGCUCUCCUCCUCAGGAGAGAUGAUGUAAUUAAAAACAUGGAAACUUAUCUCCAGAAAGAAUCUGCAUGUCUGUCUAUUCUAUUCCAUUUCCCAGAAUCAGGUGCCUUGUGGUGUCCCUGACUCUGCCUGAGAGAACUUUCCUCAAGUUCUGGUGUCUUUGCUUCACCCAUCCUGCUGUGGGUGGCCCUGCUCUGGGAAUGCUGGUUUUGACAGCUGUGCUGAAGCAGGAGCAAAGUGCCAAGACGGAAGGAUAUCCCUGUGAGGCUGUGACAUCUUGCAGCUUUGCUGUCACUUGUUAUGUGGUGGUGAAUGCUGAUGCUCACUCGAGCCAUCCCACUGUGAUUUCUGCCCUUGCUCAGAGGAAGGAGCACACUCUGUUCCCAGCACAGCUCUCUGGUGUCAUGGGGAGCAGUGAAAUGCUGUCGCUGUCCUUCCUCAGACUGGAUCCAUGUCCUCGCUUGGUGUACUGUGUGCAGCACAAGCUCAUGGACCCACGCAAUAGUACAGUGACAGAAAAAAAAGUUUGGUGGCAAGAAGGAAUCCUCAAAUCAACAGUUACUGCCAGCCAAAAUGUCUGAGAUUCAUCUUUCCAGCCAGUGCCUCUAUGUGGAGCUAAUUUCCUUGGUAGCACGGACCAAGCAGAUGAAAUGUGGAGGCAUAUUUGGUAUUUCAGCAGGUUUGGUUUUUUUUUAAAUGCAUUUGAAAUGUAGAAUUCAUAUUGCAGAAACUCAAGUAUCCAACUAGACACUUCCUGUUGUUUUAUUAAAGAACAGUUCUGACUGCUUUUGAUGUAGAGCUUGAAAACUCACUAGGAGUAAAAUGCAAAUGAGUAGUAAACCAAUGAGCCUGUUGAAGCAAUAAUUAAUGUAAAUAUUUGCAUAGUUAGGUUUUUCAGGAAUUAAGAGUUGUGGUUCAGGGUUUCUGGAUUUUAUUUAGCUACUCCUUGGUUACAAAGGCAGUAGAGUAGGUUUUAAUGAUACUGUAUCAAAUGAUUUCAAAUAGUUUGGCUUCUCCUAAGGGAGGAAACACACUCACUGAAGAGUGUCACGACAAGUAUUUGGCAGGGGGAAGAAUGGGGUUUUUGUUUUUGGUUUUUUUUCAGUGAGGAUUUGAUAGGGGAAUGAGUACUGUGCCUGUGAGCAUCCUUCCAUGGGCUUGACUGCACUUGUGAGUGUUGUGAGUUCUGACUUGUUUUCCGUUUUGUGAAAAUCUUCAUUUGAGAAUCAGACACUGAUUUUGGUACUGUUCCUCCUUGUUGAGGUAAUGUUUGGCAAUUCUGGUUUGUGCUAAACUAAAACUAAACUUCUAGAACAUGUGUCCAAGGAUUCCAAGCAUAAAAUAACCCUGCAGAAUUUGAAACUGUUUUAAAUAGUGUAGUUCACUUUUUUCUUCCAUUCUGUUGAUGCUUUUUAGGUAAACUCUGAUAAUUCCAUGGUGCCAGUGAUGGCCUAAACCAAAAUGGGAUAAAUAUCUUGGACAAAGAUAGAGUGUGAAUGAUUUAUAAGAUUGUCUGGAAGUUUUUUAUAGAUAUGAUAUCAAUGGUAAGUCACUUAAAAAUUAAAUUUCUCUUGAAAAACACAGAGGCAAAGCCAAUGUGGAUUUUUUCACAGCAAUUUGGAAAAUACAUUUAUUCAUAUGUUUUAUUCUUCCUGUAUUUGUCUUCUGCUAAAAAUACAAGUAUUUCAAUAUAUGUUUAUUGAUAUUUGCUUUACUUGUCUGUUGUGUUUACUAAGACUCUUCCAAAAUUCAGCUCACUUCCUUUUAACCAGCUAUGCCAGUUCUGACCAGCUUAAUUCAUGUUUUAUAGAGGCUUUGUGUCUGGGGAGAGUACAGACAAAGUUGAAACUGCUUAAGACUUGAACUUAAAACAUGAGGGUCUUCUCUGGCAUUGGGUUUUCUAUUUCUGUUAAGGAGCAGAAGAUCCCACUUGUCCACUUCUGGAGCCAAGGAAAGCCUGAUCCAUGGAACAGUACAGGGGCCUUGGAAGCAGAAUGAAGGAAAUGCAGUUUAUGUCAAUCAGAAUUGUUUGCUGUCUGAUAACAUCACUGUCUCAGCAGGGAAAUCAUUUCCUGUAAACAAUAUGGUUUAUCUGAAAAAUCUGCUAUUUUAAUAAAGUGAAAAAUUAUUUUUCCAAGCUUCACAGAAGCCUUAUCUUUGUCUGACAGGAAAAAGGGAAGCGGCAGGGAUAAAAGAUGCUUUGUGAACUGAGCUCUGUUUACUUAAGGCUAUGGAAAACAUGCUGAAAGCAUAUACAUUGAGUGCAUAGCUUAAUGUAUUUUUUCAAUAAACACAUUUCCCCACAUAUUAUUAAAUUAGUUGAAUUGACUAACUACCAUCUAGUGGAAAAUGAGAUCUAUUAACCAUUUCUUAUUCUGGAGAUGUUUCAUACAUUCUAAGGCAUUUAUAAGAUAGUAAAUCUGUAACCUGGAUCACAGUGCAGUGCUGGUAGUCCACAGGAGCUUUUUAACUGUGUGUGAUGUUCCACAUGAAGUCUUGUUCAUCCUAUGAACUGCCUGCCAUAGCUACUGUGGGCUGCUUCCUGCCUGUAAUGGAGACGUAACACACCCAGGAUUUCCACUGUCACAGCUGCUCUGCUUCUCCAGGCAGAGGCACUGCUUGGAUGAUCCAACACCGAGGGGUUGACAUUGGUCUGUCUCUGUCAGCUGGAGACACAAACUUGGUACAUUCAGAGAUGUGUUAAUGAAAUCUGGCUUCUGCUAUGAAACAAAGAAAUACCCCCAGCCCCUUCCUGCUUAAAUUGGUCUUAGAAAAAAGCUGGUGUUAUAGGAUAGAGGCAGGAAGCAAGAAGCAAACUCUGUCUUCUCAAAAGAUGGAAUAUUUGAGGGGCAAAGGAGAGGGAAGAUAAUUUUCAUAGAGUUCUCAGAUCAGAGGCACUAGUGUGUAUGUUGGUUCUUUCUGUUCUGCAGGAAUUUCAACAGUGAUGUUACAUCUCUCAUUAAUAAAUGUAUUUAUAUCUGUGUUCAGCUCAGGCAUCCUCACAUUAGAAAACAUAGUGAAAACUAAGUUAAGAAGUUGUGAGGAAUCUCUUCUAUCUAUGUUUUUUAUGCUAUGAUGCUUGUUGGCCAACUAAAUAGGUGUUUUGUAGGUUUUUGAAACACAAAAUUCCCAGAUUUCUCCUUUCUGAACUUUUUUGACUUGUUGCUAUAUGAAGUUUUCUCUUACUUGGAAUCAGUGAAUGAAUUCAGGAAAUGGAAAAUUUAGCCACUUCACAUGCUUAGUAGAGAAAAUAAAUAUUUAAAUAAUAUUGGAUGAUCUUUCAUGGUAAGAGUAAAGGCUUUGAUAUAGUUUUUCUUCUUUUUAACACUAGAAAAACCAAUAUGCAUGUUGAACAAUCAGAAAUAUUUUCUAUAUAAAUGCUCAUCUUAAAACUGCUUUUUUCUAUUUAUUUAGACUGUUUGAUGUGUAGAUUUAAGGUAUUGUGUCAUAAAAACUGUGUGUGUAUAUAUAUACAUAUAUGUGUGUAUAUAUGUAUAUAUAUGCAUGUGUGUGUAUAUAUAUAUAUACACUAUAUAUAUAUAGUAGUGUAAGAACAAUCAAGAUCUAGAGAAUUUUUUCACAGGGCAAUGCUAAUGAGAAUGUUUGCAUAUUAAUGCUUCAGCUGAUAAGGCAGUAGUUAAUAUUGUGGGAUGCAGAAUGAAGGCUGCAUUUCCUUCCAUCAAAAACAUCCUUUUUGAUGUAGAUGCCAUUUUAAUUAAACAUCUCUGUGUGCUGCUGUGUGACAGUGACCAUGUGGAGGAUUGCAAUGUGCCAGGCUCUGACCAUUCACUGGCAACUGGUUCUGGAGCUCUUGCAUUCAUGGCCUGCAUGCAUGGGAACCACAAGGGAUGUCAAGGUUCUGCUGGUCCUUGGCUGGAUGUCCUCCAGUGUGUCCAGAUGGAAUAUUAGGAAAUCCUAGAAUACCAAACUUCCCUGAAUUUUUGUUUGAGGUGCAGCAUUUCUGCUAGAAAAAUAGGUCCCUGUGUAAGAAAACAACCCCCAAUCCAAAAGUAUUUAAAAGAACAAGGAAAACUGCCAUUUAAACCUGCACAGUGUUCCAGCCUGUGCUGCUGUCUCCAGCUAGUCUGACACCAUCUACCAGAGGAAAAACAAGCUGUACAGUUGUAAUAGGAUUAAACAGUAUAAACCUGCAAGCAGAAAUGUGAUUAAUACAGGGUAUUUCUGAUUCCUGCAAUGACUAUAUUGCUACACUGAGAAAACCAGAAUGUUUAUUAGAAGUAUUUUCAGUAUGUAUAUAUUUUUCUGAAGUUAUUUAUAAUAGUUGCCUUUCUCUCAGGCCUGCAGGAGAUAAUUUUUAAAUUAACUGUGCAGUGUAAUCAGUAUCAGUAGAUUAUACAAUCCUGAGAUGUCAAGAAUUAUGAUAAACCUCAUACUAAGCUCUGGAGAGAUUUGUAACUGUGUAGUUUGCACCGCCCCAUUUUUAUUAGCAUUUUCAUUAUAAAGUUGUUACUGGCAGCAUAAAGUUAAUGUUCUGUAACAAGAAAACAGCAAUUAUGCAGUCCUAAACAAGAACUCAACAUUAAACAUGGCAGAUAAAAAUAACAAGCAGAUACAGUUACUGCAGACAGAUAAUGUGGAAAAAAAUAAUGUAGCAUUUACAGGAAGGCAAUGGUAACUUUUCUUCCUUAAGCAUAAAGCUGGUUGCCAAACAACUCCCUGUAACUUCUGAGCAUUCAUCUUUGCAUUUUCAAGUAAAACUUCCAAAAGUGUAGAGCAUAAGCUCAAAUUUUUUUCUGUUUGAAAUCAAUGCAAAAAUAAAUAUCUGAUAAAAAUAUAUGUGCUAAUCAACUUUAAAAAAAGUGUUAAACCUGUGUAGCUUUUGAGAAUGCUCUCUUCUGUGUCCUCCCUCAGAAUCUAUAUUAAAUGGAUACUGUUGAUUA